CGAGCAGGUCGUUCUAUCGCUUCGUUUUUUACGAAGAGGAAAGUCCGGACAACAAAGGGCACCAUACUUCCUAACGGGAAGGCGGUUGAAAAGCUGCAGUAACGUAACAGAAAAUAACUACCGUGCUUGCGCGGAAAAGGUGAAAAGGUGAGGUAAGAGCUCACCGGUUUUGUUGGCAACAGCAAAAGCCGUACGUCUUAUGGGUUGCAAGGCUAUGUAUAUCGACAUUCCGGUUUGCCGGAUAAGGACUGCCCGUCUGAGUCGAGGGGUAAGCCGCAAGAACUUUUUGGUGACAAAAAGUCUAGAUAAAUGAUAGAAACCAAUUUUGGUACAGAAUCCGGCUUACAGGCCUGCUUAUUUU
RNAcentral lists this RNase P RNA (361 nucleotides) under Bacteroidales bacterium. RNAcentral's name for it is "RNase P RNA component class A". It matches the Rfam family "Bacterial RNase P class A". From Rfam's summary of the family: Ribonuclease P (RNase P) is a ubiquitous endoribonuclease, found in archaea, bacteria and eukarya as well as chloroplasts and mitochondria. Its best characterised activity is the generation of mature 5'-ends of tRNAs by cleaving the 5'-leader elements of precursor-tRNAs. Cellular RNase Ps are ribonucleoproteins. The record is from RNAcentral. Lineage: Bacteria; Pseudomonadati; Bacteroidota; Bacteroidia; Bacteroidales.